Molecule: ribosomal RNA, 497 nt
Filed under: uncultured bacterium
Lineage: Bacteria
Description: bacterial SSU rRNA
Rfam family: Bacterial small subunit ribosomal RNA
Source: RNAcentral
ACUCAAAUGAAUAGACGGGGGCCCGCACAAGCGGUGGAGUAUGUGGUUUAAUUCGAAGCUACGCGAAGAACCUUACCAAGGUUUGACAUCCCUCUGACAGAUAUAGAGAUAUAUUUCCCUUCGGGGCAGAGGAGACAGGUGGUGCAUGGUUGUCGUCAGCUCGUGUCGUGAGAUGUUGGGUUAAGUCCCGCAACGAGCGCAACCCUUAUGUUUAGUAGCCAGCACGUAAAGGUGGGUACACUAAACAGACUGCCGUGGAUAACACGGAGGAAGGUGGGGAUGAGGUCAAAUCAUCAUGCCCCUUAUAUCUUGGGCUACACACGUACUACAAUGGCUCAUACAAAGUGAAGCAAAGCUGUGAAGCAGAGCAAAACACAAAAAAGAGUCUCAGUUCGGAUUGCAGGCUGCAACUCGCCUGCAUGAAGUCGGAAUCGCUAGUAAUCGUGAAUCAGCAUGUCACGGUGAAUACGUUCCCGGGCCUUGUACACACCGCCCGU